ACAACUGGAGCCUCAUUUUCUUACUUUUUUUUUUUUUUUAGGUGGAGUUUUGCUCUUGUUGUCCAGGCUGGAGUGCAGUGGCACAAUCUUGGCCUACUGCAACCUCCACCUCCCAGGUUCAAAUCAUUCUUCUGCCUCAGCCUUCCAAGUGGCUGGGAUUACAGACAUCACAACAUUGCCCCAGAGAGGAACCCAGGAUUCUCACACCAUGACACCAUCCUCAUCUGUUUCUCCAGCCACAUUUGGACAUGGAUCUGGCAGCCAAAGGACUCUAAUCUGAAUGUGGGUCAAAAGACCCUUAUUCCAGAAAAGGUCCCACCCCAUACUCUGGAGGAAGGAAUGCUGCACAGAAGGGUCAAGAAGAAUCUGAACAGACGGGUCUUGCUGGGUUUCCCCACUCAGUCUUCUAGGACGAGAUCGUACUCUUUUUGUCCAGUCACAUGUCUACGAAGUUGUCAAUCAUGCCUAUAUAAUGAAGCCUCCAUAAAAACCCAAAAGGACAGGGUUUAGUGAGCUUCCAGAUAGUUGAAUACAUGGAGGUUCCUAAAGGGUGGUGCUCCCAGGGAGGGCGUGGAAGCUCCACACACCUUCCCCUCCUCUCCUUUUGCAUCUCUUCAUCUGUAUCCUCUGUAAUAUCCUUUAUAAUAAACCAGUAAAUGUAAGUGUUUCCUUGAGUUCUCUGAGCCACUCCAGCAAAUUAAUCAAACCCCAAGAGGGGGUCAUGGGAACCUUGACUUGAAGCUUGUUGGUCGGAAGUUCCAGAGGCCAGAACUUGAGACUGGUAUCUGAAAGUGGGUAUUCUUGGGGACUGAGCCCUCAACCUGUGAGAUCUGAUGCUAUCUCCAGGUAGAUAGUGUCGGAACUGAAUGGGAGGACACCUAGUGGUGUCCACUGGGGUACUGAUUGCCCACUUGGUGGUGGGAACAGCCCCUUCACACACACAUUUGGUCCCAGAAGUCUUCUGUGUUAAUGAUUAUUGUGGUGUGAGAGCAGAGAAAAACACUGUAAAAUGUUAGAGCUUUUCCCAAUUUGCAUUAUUCUUUACAUAAUCUGGCUUUAAGUCCUUCAUUGAUUAUCUGUAUUACAAAUAUUUUCCCUACACCAUGGGUGGUAGUUUUACCCAUUUA
RNAcentral lists this long non-coding RNA (1127 nucleotides) under Papio anubis (olive baboon). RNAcentral describes it as "lncRNA (ENSPANG00000039707.1)". Lineage: Eukaryota; Metazoa; Chordata; Mammalia; Primates; Cercopithecidae. The record is from RNAcentral.